Molecule: transfer RNA, 74 nt
Filed under: Planctomycetota bacterium
Lineage: Bacteria; Pseudomonadati; Planctomycetota
Description: tRNA-Ile
Rfam family: tRNA
About the family: Transfer RNA (tRNA) molecules are approximately 80 nucleotides in length. Their secondary structure includes four short double-helical elements and three loops (D, anti-codon, and T loops).
Source: RNAcentral
GGGCGCGUAGCUCAGUUGGUUAGAGCACACGCUUGAUAAGCGUGGGGUCGGUGGUUCGAGUCCACUCGCGCCCA